Molecule: microRNA precursor, 178 nt
Filed under: Chlorocebus sabaeus (green monkey)
Lineage: Eukaryota; Metazoa; Chordata; Mammalia; Primates; Cercopithecidae
Description: miRNA (ENSCSAG00000023179.1)
Source: RNAcentral
UUGUUUUAAGUUUCUGAUAAAUCUUUAUAGAAAGAGAUUACACUAAUCAGAUGAAUUAAUACCUUUUUUCAUUUUGUCUCUUCACCUUAUGUUGCUAAGUUUUUUCAUCUAUGACAUUGCUGUAAUCAAUACAUAUUUCAUUUGAAUUAUUUCAGGAAUUAAUAUAUUAAUUUAAAAA